Molecule: ribosomal RNA, 497 nt
Filed under: uncultured bacterium
Lineage: Bacteria
Description: partial 16S ribosomal RNA
Rfam family: Bacterial small subunit ribosomal RNA
Source: RNAcentral
GAUGAACGCUGGCGGCGUGCCUAAUACAUGCAAGUCGAGCGAACGGACGAGAAGCUUGCUUCUCUGAUGUUAGCGGCGGACGGGUGAGUAACACGUGGAUAACCUACCUAUAAGACUGGGAUAACUUCGGGAAACCGGAGCUAAUACCGGAUAAUAUUUUGAACCGCAUGGUUCAAAAGUGAAAGACGGUCUUGCUGUCACUUAUAGAUGGAUCCGCGCUGCAUUAGCUAGUUGGUAAGGUAACGGCUUACCAAGGCAACGAUGCGUAGCCGACCUGAGAGGGUGAUCGGCCACACGGGAACUGAGACACGGUCCAGACUCCUACGGGAGGCAGCAGUAGGGAAUCUUCCGCAAUGGGCGAAAGCCUGACGGAGCAACGCGGCGUGAGUGAUGAAGGUCUUCGGAUCGUAAAACUCUGUUAUUAGGGAAGAACAUAUGUGUAAGUAACUGUGCACAUCUUGACGGUACCUAAUCAGAAAGCCACGGCUAACUACGUG